This 281-nucleotide long non-coding RNA is filed under the name Ananas comosus (pineapple). RNAcentral's name for it is "long non-coding RNA (ACOM_LNC030669)". Lineage: Eukaryota; Viridiplantae; Streptophyta; Magnoliopsida; Poales; Bromeliaceae. The record is from RNAcentral.
GUUACAGGCAGGAUGGGUCCAUUUGGGCAGCCCGUGUGAGAUUGGGUCAGUGGUAGCUAGUGAUGCAUGUUUAUGUCUACAGAUAGUUUGUUUUGAUAGCGAUAGUAUAGUAGCAUGUAGCUGUAGAGUUCUUUCCAGCUUUCCUUACUAUCCUUUACUUACCUUACUGUAGACUUAGUAGGUGGGCUGUUGAGGUCGGUGAUGGUACCCACUGAGGACUAUUCUGUUUUGCAGUAGUUCUCACACCCAGUUGUUGCCAUCUUUUUGCAAAGCCUUUGUUU